UUAUAGAUCCUUAGAUAUCAAAAGUUACAGAGCUCUAAAAUUCCAUUACCCUUAAUCCUAAUAUAAAUGCAACCCUUCUGAAGUUGCAUACAGAACACUAAAUGAUCUUAUCCCUGCCUAGCAACAGGCAACAGGCAACAGGCAACAGCUAAAGGCUUAAAAAACAUCCAUAGUCCAUCAGUUUUAAUUUUUAAACACUAAAAAAUAUAGUCAUAUACUAGUUCAACUGUUCAAGAUUUCCCUUCUCCUUGCUUCUUUAAGCAAAAUAACUCCUUGCAAACCAGCUAUGUGCUAUGUGGAGCUGGCAUCAUUUUCCUUUGCAGCCGUCUCUUCCUGAAGUUUCUUUUUCCAGUAUGCAUCAACUGGGGGUCCAAAUAUAGCUUUGCCUGAAACGAUUCCAAUCCUACAAACCCAAUACAGUUAUUAACUAUAAUAAGUUCAAAAGCUACUUUAAAGUUGAAAGCUUUAGCAAUAUCCUUGUUAUAUAUGAAUCCAGAUUAGAAAGUUUAAAGCAAAAUGCAGAACAAAGCAAAUGCAGAAUCCCAACAACCCAUGAAUUAUGUGACACUUGAUUAUUUCUACAAAUCCUACCAGCUGAAUUAUGUGAUGUACCUUCUCUGGCGACAGGAAACCAUUAUUUCCCGUAACUAUGAUAAACCCGAACAACAUUUUGUAAGAUGUGACCAAAAAAACACUAAUGGUGGGAUUUCAGGAACAUAGUAAAACCCAUGUUCUACAAUUUUGAGAGGCUAAGAGCAUUCACAUCCUUAUCUCUAUCCCUACUCUGCAGUGCUAUUGGAUCAUUUUGUAUGAUAUAGAUCUAAUUUACCCAACAGGUUCCUUAUAUUGAUUACUUAAAUAAUGAAAUUUAAAAAUUAAAAAUUAAACUUUGAAAUACAUGUGAGAGAAGCUUACAGACCUUUCUCAAACAAAAUCCUAAUUCCAAUUUCCAACUAAUCUAUCCAACAACCAUAAUCAGAUAAAUAAUAGUACUAAUACAAAUAUUAUCUAAACCACUUUUUCUAAAUUUAGAUUUUAGACCCCCAAAUUUUUGAUUUUUUUUCCUUCCCUUUGCCUUUGUCUGUUAUAUGAUCUGCUCGACUUACCCGCCUAAACCUCCAAUUCUCAUUGCCAAUCAAUUGCAAUCGCAGUUUAAAAUAAAAAACAAAUCAACAAAAUCACUAUCAAUCCCCAAGAGGAAUAAACCAAUCCCCAAGAGGAAUAAACGAUCCCAAUCUUCAUCAUCAUCAAAAUCUCUUCAAUUUGGUAGAAGAAAUUUCAAUUCAGUAAUGGCGGUGGAGUCAAAUGAUGUAGUAGCGUCGGCAGUGAUUAUGCUAACACCCGACGCUAGUGGAAGGGUGAUCGUCCUUUUGUCGUUGCGGGCGUGGAGGAGUUUACUGGUUCUAAUCAACGCUUUUUUACUCAUUUUGAUCUUUCCAUUUCGCGGCCGGAAGCACUGCAGUGUUUCGUCGAUGGGUUCGUCGACUUUGUGUUCUUCGUCAUCGCCGGAGAAGGGUGGGAGGGAGAAGAGGGGGAAGAGAUUGCAAAUGACGCUGAAUUCCUUUACCCCUUUCUAAAGCUAACGUGUCUACUCAGUGAAAUGUCAUUUUGCAUACAUAGAGUCUACUCAGUGAAAUGUCAUUUUGCAUACAUAGAGAAUGAUUUUUUGACUCCCUCACCCUGAGGAGUAAAAUAAGGAUAAGAAAAUUGUUGGAUAAUAAUUUGUUGAUGUAUUCUUCAAAGAUAGUUUAUUGGGAAAACUGUUGUGAAUGCUCUAAUAACCGACUCUUCAACUAUAUGAGCUACUUCACCCACUUACUCAUGCACACAAUUGUGGUUCUUCCCUUCAUCAAAUUCAUGAGAAGUUUGCUCACAUGGGUGGUGCUUUUCAAGAUUGGUUAUUUGAAAUCCCAAUAUACACAAGAUUGGUUAUUUGAAAUCCCAAUAUACACAUUCUCAGCCUUUAUCACAGUAUUUCGAACAUAGAUUCUAUGUUCAUGAAGAAGACAAGCUACCCAAGAUAAAGCUUUCAUCUAAAAUGAGUAAUUUGUGAGAAUACUGACUUAUCAGAACCCGAAUCCUCUCUUAUGUUAGAUCUCAAACCCCAAGAAUCUAUUUGAAUUCAACCCCUCAAGUACCCCUUUUAGGGGAUGGUGCUUCAUUUGGAUGGGGAGAAGAGCGCUAGGAAAGAGAAGAGAUGACACAUGCAUCUUUUUCCACGAUAGAAUGGAAAGAAUGGGAUCAAAACGUUUACCUUCUAGCAAAUCAGAAAAUUCGUCUAGGUUCUUUUAUACAGUAUGGUUCAUGUCAGAACUAGAAUAUAUUUGAUGAUUGUUUAAGAUAAUUUUGAAUGCUAGUAUGCUACUAAACAGUUUCAUAAAGUUAAAAUUUGGAGCUUGGAUAGAAUCUAAGAUAUUUAUGGAUGUUUGAAAGUAAGGAUCUGGCUCCUCUACAGUUCCUAGCCUAAGGGGAUAAUCAACCAAGCCUUUCAUUUAGCGCAACAUGGCAAGUGAAACACAUGUUAGGAUAGGAUUAGAGUGAUUAGAGUACGUUUUAUUAAGCCUCUAACUUUAGUCUUUGAUAUCACAUCCUUUGAGAAUGAAUAAUUGGCAAUUCAUUAGCAAGAGCCAGGACAAAUGCAAAAAUCACUCAUAAAGCCAGAACCACGAUAUUUCUAUAAAAAAGAUACAUACAUAAAAGAAUCCUAAAAAAAUUUAAACAGAACAUUCGAUAUUUACUGGCAAACAAAACCCAAGUUGUCUGUCUCAUAAAUAACUAUAACAAAGUGCAAAUCGAGAAGGAAAGAAGCUUACACGACAGCUCCAAUAACGAGAGGCAACGACAGGAACCGCUGUCGAUUGAACAUGUUGAACUUUGAUCUCUCUGUCCCUUCGACUCGGCCAUAUUCGGAUUUUCUGACCCAAAAGUUGGGUAAAAUGGUAGACGCAGGCCCAUCAAUUUAAUGGUUGGUUGAUACUUUUAUAAACCCAUUGGGUAGUUCAGUACUGGUAACCCAUCUCACUAUUGAAAAGAGGUUUGGAAGCGGAAGUAUUCCGUGUCACAAGGUAGCGGGCCUUAGCCUGGCAACUUGGACUGACAUACGGAUCCAUCUUUUUUUCAUUACAAAACCCAACAGGACACACACGUACUUACUUCAUAAGAUUUCAUCACCAUACAAUUAAAAGCAUAUUAUAUAUAAAAAUAAAACUACUCCAACGUACAAUUGAUGCUAAGCUUCAUUAACAGAACAUGCAAUUAAGAUUCCAUUGUUGUCUAUAUAUCGAAACAACGAAUAUAUAUAUAUAUAUGGGUCUCUAUCCACAGCAACCGAUUGUUGGGGAGCAACCCAUUUUGGCCAGCCGCUACAAGCUCUACCGGCCGGUUGCUGUGGAUGGAGACCCUAUAUAUAUAUAUAUAUAUAUAUAUAUAUAUAUAAAAAGUAUAGUAGUCUUGCACUAAAUAAAUUACCAAACAUAUUUUUGAUGAUCCUUUCCUUGUAAAGUACUGUCCAAAUUGUAACCAAAAAACAUUCAUAUGUAUGUAUGAACUUUAUUGUAAAGAAAUAUACAGCAUGCACAUGGAGGCUGACCCCUUAAAUCCUAAAACUUCAUCUGGAGUGCCUAGAAAUGGUCAAAUCACGCGAGUAGCUCUACUACUUGCUUCACCAGCUUCAUAUGUUAUAAAGAAAGUACUAGGAUUGAGCCUAAGGUGGACCAGAAAAGCUCAUUCACAGGCAUUAUGGUCUGGUGUUUUAAGGGAGAUGGAGUGGCCACAGCC
RNAcentral lists this long non-coding RNA (3777 nucleotides) under Panax ginseng (ginseng). Its description in RNAcentral is "long non-coding RNA (PGIN_LNC006119)". Lineage: Eukaryota; Viridiplantae; Streptophyta; Magnoliopsida; Apiales; Araliaceae. The record is from RNAcentral.